Molecule: ribosomal RNA, 505 nt
Filed under: uncultured bacterium
Lineage: Bacteria
Description: partial 16S ribosomal RNA
Rfam family: Bacterial small subunit ribosomal RNA
Source: RNAcentral
GACGAACGCUGGCGGCGUGCCUAAUACAUGCAAGUCGAACGCACAGUUUAUACCGUAGCUUGCUCCACCAUAGACUGUGAAUUGCGAACGGGUGAGUAACGCGUAGGUAACCUGCCUGGUAUCGUGGGAUAACUAUUGGAAACGAUAGCUAAUACCACAUAAUAUUGAUUAUUGCAUGAUAAGUGAUUGAAAGGUGCAAUUGCACCACUACCGAAUGGUCCUGCGAUGUAUUAGCUAGUAGGUGAGGUAACGGCGCACCUAGGCGAAGAUACAUAGCCGACCUGAGAGUGUGAUCGGCCACACUGGGACUGAGACACGGCCCAGACUCCUACGGGAGGCAGCAGUAGGGAAUCUUCGGAAAUGGACGAAAGUCUGACCGAGAAACGCCGCGGGAGGGAAGAAGGUUUUCGGAUCGUAAAGCUCUGUUGUAAGAGAAGAAAGGGUGUGAGAGUGGAAAGUUCACACUGUGACGGUAUCUUACCAGAAAGGGACGGCUAACUACGUG